Molecule: transfer RNA, 76 nt
Filed under: Acinetobacter pittii PHEA-2
Lineage: Bacteria; Pseudomonadati; Pseudomonadota; Gammaproteobacteria; Moraxellales; Moraxellaceae
Description: tRNA-Glu (TTC) (tRNA-Glu-TTC-2-1)
Rfam family: tRNA
About the family: Transfer RNA (tRNA) molecules are approximately 80 nucleotides in length. Their secondary structure includes four short double-helical elements and three loops (D, anti-codon, and T loops). Further hydrogen bonds mediate the characteristic L-shaped molecular structure. tRNAs have two regions of fundamental functional importance: the anti-codon, which is responsible for specific mRNA codon recognition, and the 3' end, to which the tRNAs corresponding amino acid is attached (by aminoacyl-tRNA synthetases). tRNAs cope with the degeneracy of the genetic code in two manners: having more than one tRNA (with a specific anti-codon) for a particular amino acid; and 'wobble' base-pairing, i.e. permitting non-standard base-pairing at the 3rd anti-codon position.
Source: RNAcentral
GUCCCUAUCGUCUAGAGUCCUAGGACAUCGCCCUUUCACGGCGGUAACCGGGGUUCGAAUCCCCGUAGGGACGCCA